AACGAACGCUGGCGGCAUGCCUAGCACAUGCAAGUCGAACGAGACCUUCGGGUCUAGUGGCGCACGGGUGCGUAACGCGUGGGAACCUGCCCUUAGGUUCGGAAUAACUCCCCGAAAGGGGUGCUAAUACCGGAUAAUGUCUUCGGACCAAAGAUUUAUCGCCUUUGGAUGGGCCCGCGUUGGAUUAGCUAGUUGGUAGGGUAAAAGCCUACCAAGGCGACGAUCCAUAGCUGGUCUGAGAGGAUGAUCAGCCACACUGGGACUGAGACACGGCCCAGACUCCUACGGGAGGCAGCAGUGGGGAAUAUUGGACAAUGGGCGAAAGCCUGAUCCAGCAAUGCCGCGUGAGUGAUGAAGGCCUUAGGGUUGUAAAGCUCUUUUACCCGGGAUGAUAAUGACAGUACCGGGAGAAUAAGCUCCGGCUAACUCCGCG
Molecule: ribosomal RNA, 433 nt
Filed under: uncultured bacterium
Lineage: Bacteria
Description: partial 16S ribosomal RNA
Rfam family: Bacterial small subunit ribosomal RNA
Source: RNAcentral